AAGGUUCGGUCCCCAGGGCCAUGAUUCUCAAGCCACUCAGCAGCAAUGAUGUCGUUUCCGAUGGCAUCCUUGGCUACGGUACCACCACCGGUGCCUCCUCCCCUGUCAUCACAUUUUAAUAAAACAAAAGGUCAGUUUUAAUUUAACUAUC
Molecule: long non-coding RNA, 151 nt
Organism: Hibiscus syriacus
Lineage: Eukaryota; Viridiplantae; Streptophyta; Magnoliopsida; Malvales; Malvaceae
Exons: 4
Source: RefSeq, a predicted model, not a curated record